Molecule: long non-coding RNA, 434 nt
Filed under: Elaeis guineensis (African oil palm)
Lineage: Eukaryota; Viridiplantae; Streptophyta; Magnoliopsida; Arecales; Arecaceae
Description: long non-coding RNA (EGUI_LNC082766)
Source: RNAcentral
AAAUUGAGAAGAAAAGGUUCUUCUUUUAAUCUCUAUUGUAGAGAUCAGAUGCAUGGAUCUAGAAAGAAAAAGAGAGGAUCUCUUUAUUCUUCAUCUCCAUCAUGUUCUUCUUAGAUCAGUCAAAAGAUGGUGUCUUCGCGAGCUAGCAUUCCCAGAGAGAUCGAUCAGCAUGAAAAUUUCAUUUGGAUAUCCAUAGAGGAUGGAUGCGUGUGCGGUUGUCAAGCAUCAUGAAGAACCAUCUACCAUGAAUUUUGGAUGUGGUGAUCUACUAUUCAUGCUCAAAUAUGAAGUUUUGAAUUCAAUUAAUAUUUAGUUAUGAUCUAAAUAUAAAUUAGAUAUGUCUUUACUUGCUGAAUUUUAGAUUUCAGAUUUACAUACAUGCAUAUUAGUUUAUGUCAUAGAUCCUACAUGGUGAUUUUAGAUUUGAUCUAUGC